UUUAAGGAAUAAGGGUCUAUCUUUUGAUCUCUGCUAUGAUCCCCUUAAAAUAGUUCUAGUUUA
This 63-nucleotide non-coding RNA is filed under the name unclassified sequences. The record is from RNAcentral.